Molecule: ribosomal RNA, 478 nt
Filed under: uncultured bacterium
Lineage: Bacteria
Description: partial 16S ribosomal RNA
Rfam family: Bacterial small subunit ribosomal RNA
Source: RNAcentral
GACGAACGCUGGCGGCGUGCUUAACACAUGCAAGUCGAACGGUAAGGCCCUUCGGGGUACACGAGUGGCGAACGGGUGAGUAACACGUGGGUGAUCUGCCCUGCACUUCGGGAUAAGCCUGGGAAACUGGGUCUAAUACCGGAUAGGACUCCGGACUGCAUGGUCUGGGGUGGAAAGCUUUUGCGGUGUGGGAUGGGCCCGCGGCCUAUCAGCUGGUUGGUGGGGUGAUGGCCUACCAAGGCGACGACGGGUAGCCGGCCUGAGAGGGUGACCGGACACACUGGGACUGAGAUACGGCCCAGACUCCUACGGGAGGCAGCAGUGGGGAAUAUUGCACAAUGGGCGCAAGCCUGAUGCAGCGACGCCGCGUGAGGGAUGACGGCCUUCGGGUUGUAAACCUCUUUCAGCACCGACGAAGCGCAAGUGACGGUAGGUGCAGAAGAAGGACCGGCCAACUACGUGCCAGCAGCCGCCGUAA